Macaca mulatta (Rhesus monkey) is the source of this 2028-nucleotide non-coding RNA. The record is from RefSeq and is a predicted model, not a curated record. NCBI's taxonomy places the organism in Eukaryota, Metazoa, Chordata, Mammalia, Primates, Cercopithecidae.
CUUCCGCUUCAAUCUCUUCUGAUGUGGGGAUGGAGUUCUUCUUGGGGCGACCUUUGGGUUUUGUGGGUGCUUCCUGUCCACCUUUAAGAACCUACGGUGACAGUGAGAGUGACCAACAGAUAAUGUGUAUGAAAGGACCAGAACGGCACCUUCUGAAUGCUUCAUAGGGCAGCGAGGGCCACAUAACUGAUGACUGUUUCCAUGAAGCUGAGAAACAAGUUUGGAUUCCCCAGCAUGAAUCUCCUCCCAGACACUGCUGCUCACCUUAGCUAACUUUCUCAACCUGAAGAUGUGAUGUUCCACUGGACCUCAAGCAGGGCCCCCAAUGCCAAGGCGCUGACUUGGAGAUGACUGGGAAGUGGGGACUGAGAAAGGACAAACACUCAGGGCUGCGUGGAGACCCUGAGAUUCACAGAAUUCACUUUUGGCUUGUGUUUCCUGGCCUCCAAAUAUUUGGAUUCUCUGAAGACGUGGAUUUCGUGAAGAGGUAAUAAAAAUACUAAUAAUGAUAAUAAUAAUGGCAAAAACAUCUCUUAGCUGUGUCCUAUAUGGCAGGUCCUAUUUACGUGUUUCACAGAGAUUAGCUCAUUAAUAAUACAACCCUACGAGGUACGUGUUAGGCCUUUUACGGCAGAGGAAACAGGCACACAGAGGUUAAGUAACCUGCCCAAGAUUACACAGAGAGCGACUGGUAACAAUUCAUGGAGUUGUUAACUACCUGGGGACUAUUCACGAGAAACAUAGUGACCAUGCAUAGUGUGGGGCCCACCCAAUUCUGUGACUAGGAGAGAAAGGAGGUAUCUGUUUGGGUGCUCUCAUGGAACAGAAUUGCAUUUUAGAGCUCAAAGAGACCACCGAAUAAUGAGGCUCUUUCAGCCUAUUGCAAAACACUGUAGGUCCUGCUGGAACUAAAGCCAACAGACAUGGAAUAGAGGGUGCACAUCCCAUCUUAAUGUGCGAGAUUAAAUUGACCCAGCCCGCUACAGGUUACCAGUGCUGACUGGUCAGAACUCGUCAGAGAUGCUAUCUUGGUUCUGGCAAGGUUACCCUUGGCAGCCAUGUGAAUAAGUCUGACAAUCAACUGCUAAUCUUUUUCCAGUUCCAAUUAGGUUACUAGCCUUGAGACAUCUUUAUUACCCAAUUAUCUUUUUCUUUUCCUCCCCAGUACCUAAAGAGAUAGCCUUGAAAGAGUUUUACUGGGAAACUAGGUGAAGUAAUCAGGAUCACACCACAGCCUUGCUAUUCCACUCUCUGCGCUGAUCCUGUACAUCUCCCUGCCGCUGCACUGACCGCUCCGUGUAAUAAUAAUGCCAGUUUGCAGGUCUGUCUCCCGCACUUGACCGAGUACCUUUUGACAAUUUUAUUUUCUAGUGGACAGGCUCAUGUCUUACCUUUGCAUCUCCAGGGCCUGAUAAAUGUUAAAUGCUCAAUGAAUUAACUCAAAAGUGAACUGACAGUUUGGGCCUCUUGGCUCCUAAAGGGACCUGAAGGUGACUGGCUUGCAGAAUGUUCUCUGAGGUUAAAUCUGCUAAGUUACUUCCAUUUUGGUUUACAUGACAUUGAUACCCAUCAAUAACUGGCCUAAAAUCAUGCCAGCAACACUGUUGCUGGUGAAAAACAAGUGACGUCACAGGCGAAGGCACACACAUUGUCCCACGGGCACUGGGCGGUGCUGGCAGAGGAGGCUGCCUGUCAAUUCCUUAAUCAUCUGACUCAUGAAAAGAUUGCUGAUAACCAAUUUAAACAAUGCCUCUGCUACUCAGGAGACAUUGAUUUCAAGGCUGAUGAUUGACGAGGAAGAAGGUGGGUGGUGGAUCUUGCACAGAAAGCAGUGAAGGGACUUGCCCAAAAUCAACCAGGGAAGGGCAAGCAUGGGAACACGGCCUGGUGCUUCUCACUCCCAAGUCUAGUUCUUUAGAAACCAGUCCCCUAAAAGGUGUCCAUGUGUACUUAGCACUGUAGAGUGUUUGCAAGACUAUCUAUUUAACCAAAUCCAUUCUUCCUUCAAUUUCUUGUUUUUAUUUUAUU